CCUUGGGGUUUUUCUUCUCGUUGGGGCAAUCCACGAACCGAUCCCAACGAUAAUAGCUGAGUGGAGGUCGGCGACCAGGAGGACUUUCACAAGUUGAAGGACAUGAUAGUCCCGACGCAGAAGGAGCUUGUGACUGAACAAGCCCUUUAUGACACCGACUUUAGUUCGGCCAUCUGUUUAGGUAUAGUAUAGUCGGUUAUUUUUGACUUCACUUAUCUUUUGAGUUGUACUGACUCUUGUCGU
RNAcentral lists this long non-coding RNA (243 nucleotides) under Elaeis guineensis (African oil palm). RNAcentral's name for it is "long non-coding RNA (EGUI_LNC070568)". The record is from RNAcentral. Lineage: Eukaryota; Viridiplantae; Streptophyta; Magnoliopsida; Arecales; Arecaceae.